CGCGUAGGCGGUGCUUUAAGUCGGAUGUGUAAUCCCCGGGCUCAACCUGGGAACUGCAUCCGAGACUGGAGUGCUGGAGUGCUGGAGAGGGUGGUGGAAUUCCUCGUGUAGCGGUGAAAUGCGUAGAGAUGAGGAGGAACACCAGUGGCGAAGGCGGCCACCUGGACAGUAACUGACGCUGAGGCGCGAAAGUGUGGGGAGCAAACAGGAUUAGAUACCCUGGUAGUCCACGCUGUAAACGAUGAACACUUGGUGUGGUGGGAGUUGACCCCUGCCGUGCCGUAGCUAACGCGAUAAGUGUUCCGCCUGGGGAGUACGGUCGCAAGGCUGAA
This 332-nucleotide ribosomal RNA is filed under the name uncultured bacterium. RNAcentral describes it as "bacterial SSU rRNA". It matches the Rfam family "Bacterial small subunit ribosomal RNA", at positions 568 to 898 of the family's 1533-position model. The record is from RNAcentral.